RNAcentral lists this long non-coding RNA (249 nucleotides) under Nicotiana benthamiana. RNAcentral describes it as "long non-coding RNA (NBEN_LNC031551)". The record is from RNAcentral. Lineage: Eukaryota; Viridiplantae; Streptophyta; Magnoliopsida; Solanales; Solanaceae.
CCUAAUUUAUAUGGACUAAAAGAAGCUAAAAUAAGACGAACACCAUUUAUGACAUAAAAAUUAUAUCAACAAGAACAUGCAACAAAACUAAAGUAAGGGAUCAAAUGUAUGCCACCAACACUCCAACAGUAUAAAAAAAUAAAACAAAACAAAAUACAUCAUCACGGCUAAUUUUGUUUCCAUUAAUUUGAACUUCAUUCCCUUGAUCUUUAUCAUUCCUUAAAUGUGGUAGAGGAAAUAGUAGGGUAA